RNAcentral lists this ribosomal RNA (491 nucleotides) under uncultured bacterium. Its description in RNAcentral is "partial 16S ribosomal RNA". It matches the Rfam family "Bacterial small subunit ribosomal RNA", at positions 29 to 507 of the family's 1533-position model. The record is from RNAcentral.
AGUGAACGCUGGCGGUAGGCCUAACACAUGCAAGUCGAACGGCAGCACAGUAAGAGCUUGCUCUUACGGGUGGCGAGUGGCGGACGGGUGAGGAAUACAUCGGAAUCUACUUUUUCGUGGGGGAUAACGUAGGGAAACUUACGCUAAUACCGCAUACGACCUACGGGUGAAAGCAGGGGAUCUUCGGACCUUGCGCGAUUGAAUGAGCCGAUGUCGGAUUAGCUAGUUGGCGGGGUAAAGGCCCACCAAGGCGACGAUCCGUAGCUGGUCUGAGAGGAUGAUCAGCCACACUGGAACUGAGACACGGUCCAGACUCCUACGGGAGGCAGCAGUGGGGAAUAUUGGACAAUGGGCGCAAGCCUGAUCCAGCCAUACCGCGUGGUGAAGAAGGCCUUCGGGUUGUAAAGCCCUUUUGUUGGGAAAGAAAAGCAGCAGGUUAAUAUCCCGCUGUUCUGACGGUACCCAAAGAAUAAGCACCGGCUAACUUCGUG